CCCUGCGCCGCCGACGCCCGCCCUCCCGCAGAGCCCUCCGCCGACCUCUUGGUGAACCUGAGCCGCUGCCGACGCCUCAUCGUGGUGCUUUCGGACGCCUUCCUGAGCCGGGCCUGGUGCAGCCACAGCUUCCGGUGGGUCCCGCGCGAGGUUGGGUGGGCCCCAGCUUAGCACCCACCCCCCUGACGGUCCCGCCCCGCAGGGAGGGCCUGUGCCGGCUGCUGGAGCUCACCCGCAGACCCAUCUUCAUCACCUUCGAGAGCCAGAGGCGCGACCCCGCGCACCCGGCGCUCCGCCUGCUGCGCCAGCACCGCCACCUGGUGACCUUGCUGCUCUGGAGGCCCGGCUCCGUGGUGCGGAGCAGGCGCGGGAGGGUCCGGGGCUAGCGGCGGGUUAGAGAUGGGCGGUGCCCGGGCUCCAGGCUGGGACCCCUCCGUGGGGAGCUCUGCGGCACCACGCUUUGUUAAUGGGCCCUGGGGGGAGGUUCCGCUGCCUGGGGCCCCGGUGGGGGGAGCCGCCCUUGAGGCCCCCGGAGCCACGGAAUAGCUGUCGCAGGGCGUGGAACCCGUGGGCAGCCGCAGGUGUGCUCUUGGGGGCCAGGACGCCAGGGGCUUCCGAGGUGUUCACACCUGCAAACCGCCCCGACCUGGCCCCCAGACUCCUUCCUCCGAUUUUUGGAAAGAAGUGCAGCUGGCGCUGCCGCGGAAGGUGCGGUACAGGCCGGUGGAAGGAGACCCCCAGACGCAGCUGCAGGACGACAAGGACCCCA
Molecule: small RNA, 769 nt
Filed under: Pan troglodytes (chimpanzee)
Lineage: Eukaryota; Metazoa; Chordata; Mammalia; Primates; Hominidae
Description: retained intron
Source: RNAcentral